RNAcentral lists this ribosomal RNA (617 nucleotides) under uncultured bacterium. RNAcentral describes it as "bacterial SSU rRNA". It matches the Rfam family "Bacterial small subunit ribosomal RNA", at positions 8 to 607 of the family's 1533-position model. The record is from RNAcentral.
AGAGUUUGAUCAUGGCUCAGGAUGAACGCUGGCGGCGUGCCUAAUACAUGCAAGUCGAACGCGCAGCGAGAGGUGCUUGCACCUUUCAAGCGAGUGGCGAACGGGUGAGUAACACGUGGAUAACCUGCCUCAAGGCUGGGGAUAACAUUUGGAAACAGAUGCUAAUACCGAAUAAAACUUAGUAUCGCAUGAUAUAAAGUUAAAAGGCGCUACGGCGUCACCUAGAGAUGGAUCCGCGGUGCAUUAGUUAGUUGGUGGGGUAAAGGCUUACCAAGACAAUGAUGCAUAGCCGAGUUGAGAGACUGAUCGGCCACAUUGGGACUGAGACACGGCCCAAACUCCUACGGGAGGCUGCAGUAGGGAAUCUUCCACAAUGGGCGCAAGCCUGAUGGAGCAACGCCGCGUGUGUGAUGAAGGCUUUCGGGUCGUAAAGCACUGUUGUAUGGGAAGAAAUGCUAAAAUAGGGAAUGAUUUUAGUUUGACGGUACCAUACCAGAAAGGGACGGCUAAAUACGUGCCAGCAGCCGCAGUAAUACGUAUGUCCCGAGCGUUAUCCGGAUUUAUUGGGCGUAAAGCGAGCGCAGACGGUUGAUUAAGUCUGAUGUGAAAGCCCGGAG